RNAcentral lists this ribosomal RNA (253 nucleotides) under uncultured bacterium. RNAcentral's name for it is "partial 16S ribosomal RNA". It matches the Rfam family "Bacterial small subunit ribosomal RNA", at positions 524 to 776 of the family's 1533-position model. The record is from RNAcentral.
GACGUAGGGCGCGAGCGUUGUCCGGAUUUAUUGGGCGUAAAGAGCUCGUAGGCGGCUUGUCGCGUCGUCCGUGAAAACUUGGGGCUCAACCCCAAGCUUGCGGUCGAUACGGGCAGGCUAGAGUUCGGUAGGGGAGACUGGAAUUCCUGGUGUAGCGGUGAAAUGCGCAGAUAUCAGGAGGAACACCGAUUGCGAAGGCAGCUCGCUGGGACGUCACUGACGCUGAGACGCGAAAGCGUGGGGAGCAAACAGG